GUGGGGAAUAUUGGACAAUGGGCGAAAGCCUGAUCCAGCCAUGCCGCGUGUGUGAAGAAGGUCUUCGGAUUGUAAAGCACUUUAAGUUGGGAGGAAGGGUAGUAACCUAAUACGUUGCUACUUUGACGUUACCGACAGAAUAAGCACCGGCUAACUUCGUGCCAGCAGCCGCGGUAAUACGAAGGGUGCAAGCGUUAAUCGGAAUUACUGGGCGUAAAGCGCGCGUAGGUGGUUCAGUAAGUUGGAAGUGAAAUCCCCGGGCGCAACCUGGGAACUGCAGUCAAAACUGCUGAGCUAGAGUACGGUAGAGGGUGGUGGAAUUUCCUGUGUAGCGGUGAAAUGCGUAGAUAUAGGAAGGAACACCAGUGGCGAAGGCGACCACCUGGACUGAUACUGACACUGAGGUGCGAAAGCGUGGGGAGCAAACAGGAUUAGAAACCCUAGUAGUCC
This 450-nucleotide ribosomal RNA is filed under the name uncultured bacterium. RNAcentral's name for it is "partial 16S ribosomal RNA". It matches the Rfam family "Bacterial small subunit ribosomal RNA", at positions 354 to 796 of the family's 1533-position model. The record is from RNAcentral.